RNAcentral lists this ribosomal RNA (253 nucleotides) under uncultured bacterium. RNAcentral describes it as "partial 16S ribosomal RNA". It matches the Rfam family "Bacterial small subunit ribosomal RNA", at positions 524 to 776 of the family's 1533-position model. The record is from RNAcentral.
UACGUAGGUGGCAAGCGUUAUCCGGAUUUAUUGGGCGUAAAGGGAACGCAGGCGGUCUUUUAAGUCUGAUGUGAAAGCCUUCGGCUUAACCGGAGUAGUGCAUUGGAAACUGGGAGACUUGAGUGCAGAAGAGGAGAGUGGAACUCCAUGUGUAGCGGUGAAAUGCGUAGAUAUAUGGAAGAACACCAGUGGCGAAAGCGGCUCUUUGGUCUGUAACUGACGCUGAGGUUCGAAAGCGUGGGUAGCAAACAGG